GACGAACGCUGGCGGCGUGCUUAACACAUGCAAGUCGAACGGAAAGGCCCUGCUUUUGUGGGGUGCUCGAGUGGCGAACGGGUGAGUAACACGUGAGUAACCUGCCCUUGACUUUGGGAUAACUUCAGGAAACUGGGGCUAAUACCGGAUAGGAGCUCCUGCUGCAUGGUGGGGGUUGGAAAGUUUCGGCGGUUGGGGAUGGACUCGCGGCUUAUCAGCUUGUUGGUGGGGUAAUGGCUUACCAAGGCUUUGACGGGUAGCCGGCCUGAGAGGGUGACCGGCCACAUUGGGACUGGGAUACGGCCCAGACUCCUACGGGAGGCAGCAGUGGGGAAUAUUGCACAAUGGGCGGAAGCCUGAUGCAGCAACGCCGCGUGCGGGAUGACGGCCUUCGGGUUGUAAACCGCUUUCGCCUGUGACGAAGCGUGAGUGACGGUAAUGGGUAAAGAAGCACCGGCUAACUACGUG
This 468-nucleotide ribosomal RNA is filed under the name uncultured bacterium. RNAcentral's name for it is "partial 16S ribosomal RNA". It matches the Rfam family "Bacterial small subunit ribosomal RNA", at positions 28 to 507 of the family's 1533-position model. The record is from RNAcentral.